AGCGGAAUUCGUGAGACCUUUUUUUUUCCACUGAGUCAUUUCUUUGCUCAGGUGGUCAAAGCUUUGAAGACUCAUCUUCAGCAUCAGUGAUUCUAAUUCUUCUUCAGAGUUGAUUUCCUUUAUGUUUGACUGGAUUUAUGUCCUUGCAAUUCAAUGGAUACACACAAGUCAUUCCUAGCAGAGCAGUUUGGUGUUCUCACAUCUGUACAUGUCUACUGGAAAGACCAUAGAUGUGACUCAAAGUGCCUCCAUUGAUCAAGUCAUGUCUUCACUUUUUAACAUGCUUUCUAAAUUUGUGAGAGCUUUUCUUCCAGGAAGAAAUUGUCUUCUAAUUUUAUAGCUUCCAUCACCAUCUGCAGUGAAUUUAGAGCCAAAAGAGGUAAUCUGUCACUGCUUCUGUCUUUUCCACUUCCAUUUCCCAUGAAAGUGUGGGACCAGAUGUCAUGAUCUUACUUUGUGUAAUACUGAGAAGGAAAUGGCAACCCACUCCAGUGUUCUUGCCUGGAUAAUCCCAGGGAUUGGUGAGCCUGGUGGGUUGCCAUCUCUGGGGUCACACAGAGUCGGACACGACUGAAGCAACUUAGCAGCAGCAGCAGAGAAUUCAAAUGUACUGUUUACCCUAUGUUUUCCUAUGAACACUGAGAAUUACUGUAUUCUCGGGUCUCACGAAUUCCGCU
Molecule: small RNA, 677 nt
Filed under: Bos taurus (domestic cattle)
Lineage: Eukaryota; Metazoa; Chordata; Mammalia; Artiodactyla; Bovidae
Source: RNAcentral